Podarcis muralis (Common wall lizard) is the source of this 450-nucleotide non-coding RNA. The record is from the annotation of a RefSeq genome assembly. NCBI's taxonomy places the organism in Eukaryota, Metazoa, Chordata, Lepidosauria, Squamata, Lacertidae.
CAGGUCUUCUUCAGGUCCUGGGAGAUCAUGCCAUUGAUCAUGGAACUGCAACCUUUGAUGAUUUUCCUAAUGUUCUUUCCAGCAUACAUUUCCUCACAGAUUACCCUUAUUGAGUCUGGAGGUGGCGUGAAAAGACCAGGAGACACAUUGCGACUGACCUGUACAGUGUCUGGGUUUUCUUUAACAAGCUAUGGAGUACACUGGAUCCGUCAGCCACUCGGAAAGGGACUGGAGUGGGCUGGACGUAUCGGGAGUGGUGGAAGCACUUACUAUAGCAGUGCCCUCCAAAACCGGAUCACCAUCUCAAGAGACACCUCAAAAAACCAGGUGUUCCUGCAACUGACUAGCCUGAAGCCUGAAGACACGGCCAUGUAUUACUGUUCAAGGCACACAGUGAGCAAAGCAUUCACAGAGGCAGUACAAAAACUCUGCUUCUUGAAAGCAAGAUAA